GACGAACGCUGGCGGCGUGCUUAACACAUGCAAGUCGAACGGAAAGGCCCUGCUUUUGUGGGGUGCUCGAGUGGCGAACGGGUGAGUAACACGUGAGUAACCUGCCCUUGACUUUGGGAUAACUUCAGGAAACUGGGGCUAAUACCGGAUAGGAGCUCCUGCUGCAUGGUGGGGGUUGGAAAGUUUCGGCGGUUGGGGAUGGACUCGCGGCUUAUCAGCUUGUUGGUGGGGUAGUGGCUUACCAAGGCUUUGACGGGUAGCCGGCCUGAGAGGGUGACCGGCCACAUUGGGACUGAGAUACGGCCCAGACUCGAACGGGAGGCAGCAGGGGGGAAUAUUGCACAAUGGGCGGAAGCCUGAUGCAGCAACGCCGCGUGCGGGAUGACGGCCUUCGGGUUGUAAACCGCUUUCGCCUGUGACGAAGCGUGAGUGACGGUAAUGGGUAAAGAAGCACCGGCUAACUACGUG
RNAcentral lists this ribosomal RNA (468 nucleotides) under uncultured bacterium. RNAcentral describes it as "partial 16S ribosomal RNA". It matches the Rfam family "Bacterial small subunit ribosomal RNA", at positions 28 to 507 of the family's 1533-position model. The record is from RNAcentral.